RNAcentral lists this ribosomal RNA (541 nucleotides) under uncultured bacterium. RNAcentral describes it as "bacterial SSU rRNA". It matches the Rfam family "Bacterial small subunit ribosomal RNA", at positions 772 to 1318 of the family's 1533-position model. The record is from RNAcentral.
ACCGAAUAGAUACCCGGGUAGUCCACGCCGUAAACGAUGGAUGCUAGCUGUUAGGAGUAUCGACCCUUCUAGUAGCGAAAGCUAAACGCGUUAAGCAUCCCGCCUGGGGAGUACGGUCGCAAGAUUAAAACUCAAAGGAAUUGACGGGGGACCCGCACAAGCGGUGGAGCGUGUUCUUUAAUUCGAUGAUAAGCGAAGAACCUUACCAGGACUUGACAUCCAGGGAAGCACUACGAAAGUAGAGUGUGCCUUUUGGAACCCCGUGACAGGUGCUGCAUGGCCGUCGUCAGCUCGUGUCGUGAGAUGUUUGGUUAAGUCCAUUAACGAGCGCAACCCUUAUGAAUAGUUGAAUUUUUCUAUUCAGACUGCCCCGGUAACGGGGGAGGGAAGGGGGGGAUGAUGUCAGGUCAGUAUUGCCCUUACGUCCUGGGCUAGAAACGCGCUACAAUGGCCGGUACAAUGCGCCUUAAGCCAACCCGCGAGGGGGAGCAAAUCGCAUCAAAGCCGGUCCCAGUUCGGAUAAGAGGCUGAAACUCGCCUC